AAGGCGACGAUCCAUAGCCGGCCUGAGAGGGUGAACGGCCACAUUGGGACUGAGACACGGCCCAGACUCCUACGGGAGGCAGCAGUGGGGAAUAUUGCACAAUGGGGGAAACCCUGAUGCAGCGACGCCGCGUGAAGGAAGAAGUAUCUCGGUAUGUAAACUUCUAUCAGCAGGGAAGAAAAUGACGGUACCUGACUAAGAAGCCCCGGCUAACUACGUGCCAGCAGCCGCGGUAAU
Molecule: ribosomal RNA, 237 nt
Filed under: uncultured bacterium
Lineage: Bacteria
Description: partial 16S ribosomal RNA
Rfam family: Bacterial small subunit ribosomal RNA
Source: RNAcentral